UCUAAAUCGGUCAUCACCACUGCCAAAAUUUCCACUUUGCAAUUCUUCUUCUAAAAUUCUCAAUCCUGAAUUCUAUCAUCUAAUCAAAUUGACCAAAAACCAAGUAAUAGCACAAAAAAGGCUUGAACGCAGAAACCAUGUUCCCCAAAGCCACCGAAAUGACCUCCACCAAAGCGAUAAUCUCCGCCGCUGCCUCCGCUGCUGCCACAGUCAUGCUCCUUCGCUCUGUGGCUAACGACUUUAUUCCAAAGGAGCUUCGACAAUAUGUUUACUUCAAACUCAUAACCCUUAUUAACUCUUUCUCCUCGGAACUAACCUUAGUGAUUGAAGAAUAUGAUAAUCUUAACCAGAACCAUCUCUUCACAGCUGCACAGCUCUAUCUUCAGCCCAUAAUUCCUCCCAACACGCAGAGACUCAAAAUUUCAUUACCCAAGAAAGAGAAUAACAUUUCUAUGUCCUUAGAGCAAAACCAAGAAAUCAUCGAUACCUUUAAUGGGGUUAACGUGAAGUGGAAGUUUAUUUCGAGAGAAGAACGAGUGAAGUAUGUCCCAAGCCCUGAUCUCUAUAGCACUAUGCCUGUAAACGAGCGCAGGUUCUUUGAGUUGAGCUUCCACAAUAAGCACAAGAACGUGGUUCUUGACGCUUACAUAAAGCAUGUAAUCAAGAAAUCGAAAGAAAUCAAAGACGAGAAAAGAACAUUGAAGCUCUUUACAUUAAGCCUGGACAGGAUGACAGGGAGGAGAGGAGAUGCAUGGCAAUCUGUGAACCUUGAUCAUCCUGCUACCUUUGAUACGU
This 795-nucleotide unclassified non-coding RNA is filed under the name Hevea brasiliensis (rubber tree). The record is from RNAcentral. Lineage: Eukaryota; Viridiplantae; Streptophyta; Magnoliopsida; Malpighiales; Euphorbiaceae.